CCUACGGGUGGCUGCAGUGAGGAAUAUUGGUCAAUGGACGAGAGUCUGAACCAGCCAAGUAGCGUGAAGGAUGACUGCCCUAUGGGUUGUAAACUUCUUUUAUAUGGGAAUAAAAUGUUCCACGUGUGGGAUUUUGUAUGUACCAUAUGAAUAAGCAUCGGCUAACUCCGUGCCAGCAGCCGCGGUAAUACGGAGGAUCCGAGCGUUAUCCGGAUUUAUUGGGUUUAAAGGGAGCGUAGGUGGAUUGUUAAGUCAGUUGUGAAAGUUUGGGGCUCAACCGUAAAAUUGCAGUUGAAACUGGCAGUCUUGAGUACAGUAGAGGUGGGCGGAAUGCGUGGUGUAGCGGUGAAAUGCAUAGAUAUCACGAAGAACUCCGAUUGCGAAGGCAGUUCACUGGACUGCAACUGACACUGAGGCUCGAAAGUGUGGGUAUCAAACAGGAUUAGAUACCCGAGUAGUC
This 460-nucleotide ribosomal RNA is filed under the name uncultured bacterium. Its description in RNAcentral is "partial 16S ribosomal RNA". It matches the Rfam family "Bacterial small subunit ribosomal RNA", at positions 338 to 795 of the family's 1533-position model. The record is from RNAcentral.